Molecule: non-coding RNA, 54 nt
Organism: Salmo salar (Atlantic salmon)
Lineage: Eukaryota; Metazoa; Chordata; Actinopteri; Salmoniformes; Salmonidae
Source: Rfam
CGCACUCACUACUGUAAGUCGCUCUGGAUAAGAGCGUCUGCUAAAUGACUCAAA